UCAUCCCUAGCUGGCCCUACCCAAUGCCAACACACAAUUUCCCAGCACCUAAAUGGGAGAUGAGAGGCAUAAGGACAUUAGGAAAGCUGUUGGAGAGCAGGAAAAACAGUAGAGACCCCAGAUGCUGCUCUGAUCCCCCACACUCACCCCCAAGGGUUCCCAGAUGGUGAUCAUGCCCAUACCAACCUGCUGGGAGCAGGAGCAGUUUACUUUUUUCUAUCAGGCCUGUACUUGUGCAGGGCCCCAAAUUCAGACAGACCUGCAGAGAGAUCCGAGAAACAGUGUUUUGGCAUUUUUGGUAGUUGGAUUCCAUUUCCUUUCCUGAUUUGAAUCCUUAUGGGCCAAGUUUUCCCCUCUCAGGAAUUCUCUUUCCCUCUGUAACCCUUCCUCCUCAAACCAUUAAUUAAGAAGGCCAGUGCCACACCCCUUUCUCUGCACCAAAAGAUAGGCCCAAGGCAAGAGUGUCUUGUAAAGAGGGAGAAGAUGGGGGAAGAGGAGCCUCUGGUCCCAGACUCUGCUCUGGUUUCUGCCAUACACACACCAGGGGUUCCCAGACACCUCCCACCCCCAACACUGACCUCCACGGAUUCAGGGUUGUUUCCUCUUCCUUCAGUUCAGUGAAAGCUUCAUCCUAAGAACAGACUGAAGGGCAGAGAGCCUGGUGGAUGGAGGGAACUCGGACAGAAGUCCCUAUAACUGUCUUCUAGUAUUCACGCAGCAGAAUGACAAUCUUUCAAUUCCAUGAACUCUUCUUACCCCUCCCAACCCACACCAAUCUCCUGCCCCGGGGCAGACUCCUCAGGCACUCAAUCCCUCCUUCCUUUUGCCCUGCUCCGCCCGUCCGCCAUUUCUCUGGGACACACAGCCACACCCCUUCUCCUGCACCGGAGCGGGAGGGGGCGGGGCGCUAGUGCAGCAAAAACUGGAUGGGACGCCAAAUGAGGGAUGACUGCCAGUCUAGUGUCUUCCUCCCAAGACCACCUGUCCUUCGAUCCCCAGCCCCCAGACUUAACAUAAGCCUGCAGAACAAGGGCCCCCAAGAUCUGACCUUUCGGUUUCAGGGUCAUGAUUUUCCACUGUUUCUACGUUCUGGGCUCCGCCUCCCACCCCCCACCCAAAUCCCCCGAUAACCGCCAUGUCUCCCUCCAGCGUACGAGAACUCCCCUUCCAGGACUGAAUUAACAAGAGUGAAGAGCCAUGUGGGUUGGAGGUGUCUGGAAAGCAGCCUGACGCGAUGUGGGGUGCGGGGCCUGAGUGUUAAAACCAAAACCAACAAACACUGACUGGGAGAAGAAGUCAGCGGAUUCUCCGCAAGGAUGUAGAAGGGACUGCUGUUCCCACAUAUCCCUGCAGCUGUGGGUUUCCACGAAGAAGAAGUGAUUGCUGGCUGGAGGAAGCACUCAGGUUUUUUUCACUUACGUUUACCAGUACUGCAAAAACAAAACAAAACAAAACAAAAAACAAUACAAAGAAAUAAUGUCUGGAUGAAGUCAAGUCAUAUGUUCUGUGGUCCUGGUAGCCCACAAGGAGUGAGGAAUCUGCCAGGUAUUUUCAGGAAGACCAAUGUGAACUUAAGGGAUUCAAAAGAAACAAGGUGGAGGGAGCAGAGAAAAGGAUGGGACCAUUCCUCCAGAGAAGCAAUAGAAUUGGCCAGCAGCCCAGGAGAAGAUGCUGCCCCUUCCAGUCAUCAGAAAGACAACACACUUGUUGGGUGUGUAAAGACUAAAAAAAAGGGACAGUGGUCAGGCAGCACGGUGGUGGUGGUGGUGGAAGAGGCGAGUCGCAUUCCACUUUGCUAAUAAUAGGAGGGGACAUUUGGGACCUGAACUCACCAGUGACGUAGCCUCACGUGACCAGGAGCCUAUGUACUGAAGUCUUGGUCCAGACAGCGGUUCUGCUCAGGUAACCACUUCCCUGUUUCCUUGGAGGUGGCGUGAUUGUGGGCAAGGAUGGAGGAGGAGGACGAAGAGGAAACCAUUCCUGAUUCCUGUAUGUUGGUGUGAGGAAUUUGGGCUUGAUGGCAGAGGGACUGGUGAUUGGGGCUGGCACCUGAUACUACAUCUACCAACUGACCUGUGAUGGAUGGAGAGCAGAACAAGAAGCAACCAACUGAUUCAAAAGACAUUAAUCCUGCCUAGAAAAAGUUUAGAAAGUACAGAAAACUGGAAGGAAGAAAAUAAAAUAAGCCAUCAAUAAUUA
This is a long non-coding RNA of Canis lupus familiaris (dog), 2199 nucleotides long. RefSeq lists it as uncharacterized. The record is from RefSeq and is a predicted model, not a curated record. The transcript is spliced from 6 exons. NCBI's taxonomy places the organism in Eukaryota, Metazoa, Chordata, Mammalia, Carnivora, Canidae.